GACGAAAGUCUGACGGAGCAACGCCGCGUGAGUGAAGAAGGUUUUCGGAUCGUAAAACUCUGUUUUCAGGGACGAAUGUGUGGAUUGUAAAUAAUGAUCCAUAAUGACGGUACCUGACAAGAAAGCCACGGCUAACUACGUGCCAGCAGCCGCGGUAAUACGUAGGUGGCAAGCGUUGUCCGGAAUUAUUGGGCGUAAAGCGCGCGCAGGUGGGAUAAUCAGUCUGAUGUUAAAGUUCGGGGCUUAACCCCGUGAAGCAUUGGAUACUGUUAUUCUUGAGUGCAGGAGAGGAAAGUGGAAUUCCUAGUGUAGCGGUGAAAUGCGUAGAUAUUAGGAGGAACACCAGUGGCGAAGGCGACUUUCUGGACUGUGUCUGACACUGAGGCGCGAAAGCCAGGGUAGUGAACGGGAUUAGAUACCCCGGUAAUCCUGGCCGUAAACGAUGGGUACUAGGUGUUGGGGGUAUCGACCCCUCCAGUGCCGGAGUUAACGCAAUAAGUACCCCGCCUGGGGAGUACG
RNAcentral lists this ribosomal RNA (519 nucleotides) under uncultured bacterium. RNAcentral describes it as "bacterial SSU rRNA". It matches the Rfam family "Bacterial small subunit ribosomal RNA", at positions 374 to 884 of the family's 1533-position model. The record is from RNAcentral.